Gorilla gorilla gorilla (western lowland gorilla) is the source of this 703-nucleotide long non-coding RNA. RefSeq lists it as uncharacterized. NCBI's taxonomy places the organism in Eukaryota, Metazoa, Chordata, Mammalia, Primates, Hominidae. The transcript has 2 exons. The record is from RefSeq and is a predicted model, not a curated record.
CAUAAACAGAAUGUGGUGGUUUUUUACUAUAAGGUUUUAGCUAAGCAGGCACGGAAUUUUCUAGAACUACUUUCCCUGUAUAAUUAGGAUUUGGCACAAAGAGCUUCAAGUGAGAUUUGGAAGGUACAAGAGGAGCAGCAGUCAUUACAGAAGAUUAGUACAAGCCUCCAUGCAUGUCCAACCCUUGACACAUUUGCUGCUGAUUCACGGGCUUCUCUCACUGGUGUGCAUAGACCCACAGCUCCUCUGCCUGCUGUCAGAUCGCUUCCUUCAGCUUUUCCAAGUCCUGAGUCAGGCACGUGUGCAACUCUGGGGUGAAAGACACCAGCUUCUUCUGCAGAUUACCUGUAUCAUUUGGGUUUGAAGCAUAUUCUGAUGUGUCUUUGUGAAUACCAGUUUAUUCUCAAGGAUUUUAGGUUGUCUUUUCUUUUUUUUUUUUUUUUUUCUAUUUCGUUUAGAGCUUUUCUUCCUGAUGGCUUAUCUACCGAUCAAAGCAACUUCUACCUCACCAGCAGGUAGAGAGGCAACUUCUUCCAUAGAUUUCUUCACCAGUUUUCCUUAGCCGUCUCCUUGGAACAUUUGAAAUCCUCUGGUUCUUUGGCGCCCAAAUAUGAAGGUCAUUUCAUCAAGGGCCCAAAAUUUUCAUAGAGAGGAUUUGAGAAAGGUGAUCUCAAUAAAAUACAAAAAAAAAAAAGGAAGAAAA